CCUCUAUAGAAAAGAGCAAACGACGCAUUUUACAGUAGAGCUCCCUUCUUCUUCUUCUUCUUCUUCUUCUUCUUCUUCUUCUUCUUCUUCUUCUUCGAUCUUUCUCCAAAUCACACCCAAAAGGAAGCUAACAAUCAGAAAACCUUCCCAUUGAAAGAAACCGAGGAGCAGCCACGCAUCACAAAAGCAGCAAAAGCCGAGGUCUAAGACAGAAAAAGGAAAAGCCACAACAACUAGAAAAUCUGAGUUUCCAGAUCUGAAAAGCAACGAAAAAUCAUAGAAAAAUCUGAGAAAAAGAGAGAACAAAAAAUAAUAAAAGUGAGUUUUCAGUUUGCUGUCAUUUUUACGGCAAUUUUAUACCAAUUCUGUUUCUUCAAAUGGACAUUUAAUCAAGAACAAAGCUGUUUCUGCACUGUUCUUACUGUUGACCUUGCUGAAGUUAUCUUAGUGGAGAUUUUCUUAGCCUUUAUUUGGAAAGCAUCUCAUUUUCAGCUACAAGUCUAGAGACAAAAUGUGUAUUCUCAAUUCUCCGUCUGUCGAAAUGUGUGUGGCUUGAUGAGUGUGUGACAGUGUGUGUGUAGUGUGCUUAAUUUUGUAAAUAUUGUUAGUAGAAUAUCUUUUUAGCUUCUUUUUCGAAUUUUCUUGAUAGAAUAAAAGGGUUAGAGCUAAUGUGAAGUAAUACAACUGCAAAAUUAUAUUGUUGUAGGGGAAAAAAUAUGGAACUAUGUGGUUUUUAAGUAAGACAUGAAAGAGUGAUUUAAUGUGUUAUGCAUUUGGUGGAGUCACUCUUGAACCAAACAUAAUGGAAACUAAAUGCACUUGUGCAGAAAACCUUACUUUUGUUCCUUCCCUUCUCUUUGGGAUGUUACUCCAACCUUUUAAUAAAUCUGUUUGCUAAUUGAAUACUACUUAUGGUAUCAAUAUGUUGAUAAACAUGGAUGGUUCAUACUUUUGCUGCAUUAUGUUGUCAUAAUUUAAGAUUCCAUUCUCAGAUAUAGGAAGUUGUAUUUCUAUGCGUGUUCAUCUGUGAUAUCUAAACACGUUACACUGCAGUAUGAUGAUUCAGUUCAUGUAAAGUUGGUUAAGCUGAUCUAAAUAGAUAAUUUCUUGUUGUUCUUUUUUCACUUUAAGAAAAAAUGGGGAUUGUGAAUAAAAAUCAUGCUAAUAGGCAAGUUUUUACUUAA
Molecule: non-coding RNA, 1184 nt
Organism: Nicotiana tabacum (common tobacco)
Lineage: Eukaryota; Viridiplantae; Streptophyta; Magnoliopsida; Solanales; Solanaceae
Source: RefSeq, a predicted model, not a curated record